GGCCUGUGUAGCAAGGUUAAGAACUGAGAGGUUUGGAGCCGUAGCGAAAGCGAGUCUGAAGAGGGCGACAUAGUUACACGGGGCAGACCCGAAACCGGGUGACCUAUCCAUGGCCAGGUUGAAGUGGUGGUAAAACACCAUGGAGGACCGAACCAAACGUGUGUUGAAAAACGCGGGGAUGAGCUGUGGAUAGCGGAGAAAUUCCAAUCGAACCCGGAGAUAGCUGGUUCUCCUCGAAAUAGCUUUAGGGCUAGCCUCGUAUUAGAUGAUCGGAGGUAGAGCACUGAAUGGGCUAGGGGGCCCAAAGCUUACCGAACCCUAUCAAACUGCGAAUGCCGAAUCAUUGAUGUACGGGAGUCAGUCCGCGAGAGAUAAGUUCCGCGGGCAAAAGGGGAACACCCCAGACCUUCCGCUAAGGUCCCCAAGUGCACGUUAAGUGGAGAAGGAUGUGUGAUUGCACAGACAACCAGGAUGUUGGCUUAGAAGCAGCCAUUCAUUCAAAGAGUGCGUAAUAGCUCACUGGUCGAGUGGUCAUGCGCCGAAGAUGUACCGGGGCUCAAACGUGACACCGAAGCGAAGGAUUCGAUUUAAAAUCGAGUGGUAGAGGAGCAAUGUGUACGGGCAGAAGCUGUACCGAGAGGAGCAGUGGACUGUGCACAAGAGAGAAUGCCGGUAUGAGUAGCGAGAGGCAUGCGAGAAACAUGCCCGUCGAAAGCCUAAGGUUUCCUGGGGAAGGUUCAUCCGCCCAGGGUCAGUCGGGACCUAAGCCGAGGACGGAAGUCGUAGGCGAUGGACAGCAGGUGGAGAUUCCUGCACCGCCUGGAGAAUGAAGCAAUGACACAGAAGGAUAGCAUGAGCCGGGUGAUGGUCAACCCGGUUUCCCAGCGAGGGUGCCGCGUAGUGAAGUACGCGCGGCGAAAAGCCUGAGCGAAGGAGGGAGCGAAAUCAGAGUAGCGAAGCAUGCGAUUUCACGCUGGCGAGAAAAGUUGCUGGUAUAUCGAAGAGGCGCCCGUACCGCAAACCGACGCAGGUAGGCGAGAAGAGAAUUCUAAGACGAACGGGAGAACCCUUGUUAAGGAACUCGGCAAAAUGACCCCGUAACUUCGGGAGAAGGGGUGCCGACGAAAGUCGGUCGCAGAGAAUAGGCUCAAGCGACUGUUUAGCAAAAACACAGGUAUCUGCGAAAGCGAGAGCUGACGUAUAGGUGCUGACACCUGCCCGGUGCUGGAAGGUUAAGGGGACAUGUCAUCGCAAGAGAAGCAUAGAACCGAAGCCCCAGUAAACGGCGGCCGUAACUAUAACGGUCCUAAGGUAGCGAAAUUCCUUGUCGGGUAAGUUCCG
This 1341-nucleotide ribosomal RNA is filed under the name bioreactor metagenome. Its description in RNAcentral is "bacterial LSU rRNA". It matches the Rfam family "Bacterial large subunit ribosomal RNA", at positions 630 to 1985 of the family's 2925-position model. The record is from RNAcentral.